RNAcentral lists this unclassified non-coding RNA (378 nucleotides) under plant metagenome. RNAcentral's name for it is "partial contains 5.8S ribosomal RNA, internal transcribed spacer 2, and large subunit ribosomal RNA". The stretch from base 1 to 105 matches the Rfam family "5.8S ribosomal RNA", at positions 50 to 154 of the family's 154-position model. The record is from RNAcentral.
GAAAUGCGAUAAGUAAUGUGAAUUGCAGAAUUCAGUGAAUCAUCGAAUCUUUGAACGCACCUUGCGCUCCUUGGUAUUCCUUGGAGCAUGCCUGUUUGAGUAUCAUGAAAUCUUCAAAGUAAAUCUUUUGUUAACUCAAUUGGUUUCUACUUUGGUAUUGGAGGUCUUUGCAGCUUCACACCUGCUCCUCUUUGUUCAUUAGCUGGAUCUCAGUGUUAUGCUUGGUUCCACUCGGCGUGAUAAGUUAUCUAUCGCUGAGGACACUGUAAAAGGUGGCCAAGGUAAAUGCAGAUGAACCGCUUCUAAUAGUCCAUGGACUUGGACAAUACUUUUAUGAUCUGAUCUCGAAUCAGGUAGGACUACCCGCUGAACUUAAGC